Molecule: long non-coding RNA, 20094 nt
Filed under: Theobroma cacao (cacao)
Lineage: Eukaryota; Viridiplantae; Streptophyta; Magnoliopsida; Malvales; Malvaceae
Description: long non-coding RNA (TCAC_LNC001457)
Rfam family: Small nucleolar RNA snoR8a (bases 8745-8837)
Source: RNAcentral
UGGCUGCAGCCUCUAUAAACAACUGAUCUACAAGGCAUUAUUCCAUUGACAACUCUAGGCUUCAUUCUACAGAGAAUGAAGUAUUACCUGAAUUCCAUGUUGUGGCUGAAGCAAAAGAAGGGUACAUGGUGAGUGGCUGUAGGUUGGGGAAAGGGAAAUGGUGUAUCGCUGUAGGAUCAUCGAAAGUGCAGUCUUUGCUUCUGUCAUUGCAAAGCUCAUACCGACGCAAGAUCGAGGUCCCAAUCCAAAGGGAAUAAAUGCAGCUGCAUUAUGCUUGGUGGCAUUUGAGAUCCCUUCUGAGAAUCUCUCAGGUUUGAAGAGAUUGGCAUCAUCUCCCCAUAACUGAGGGUCAUGGUGAAGUGCCACGAUUGGGACAACCACAUGCAAAUCAGCUGGCAGGAUGAGCUUUCCCAAUUGAACUUCAUUCCCAACUUUUCUUACCAUGCUAUUUAUAGGAGGAUAUAAUCUUAAAGUUUCAUUAAUGAUCAUAGUCAUCUGUAUGCAGCAGAAGAGGAAUAAACAUAUCAAAUCUAUUCUGAUUUUCAAAAAUUAAAUCUACUAAAUGUUAAGUGAUGUGUCCAAGCAGAAUGAUUAGACUUGCUUACAGUCUUUAGUCUGCCAAUGCCUUCAGAAUGUGGAUUUUGGUUACCAAAGACCUCAAUCACCUCUCUUCUUGCUUUCUCCUGCCAAUCUGGAUUGAUUGCUAAAAGCAAGACUGCCCAUGCAAGUGCAGAAUUAGUAGUUUCCUGUCCAGUAAAGUAAAAUGUCUUGCAUUCAUCUACCAAAUCUUGUCCUGAUAGCCUGUUCUUCUUGUCAGCAUCAUGGUAAGCACUUAAAAGUAAUCCAAGAAAAUCAGUGCCAAAGCUGUUGGCUUCUCCAUUUAAUACUUCCUCUUCUCUUUUCUUAACUAUCUCCAUCACAGAAUUGUGUAUUCCUUUUACAAGUUUUUCUGAUUCAAUUUCAUCAGCAGUUUUACAGAAGUUACUGCAAAAGCAAAAAAAAAUUACCACCAACAUAUGAAGGCAAAAUAAAACAAAAAUCCACCUAGCUAUACAAGAGUAGUUUAACCAUUUGGGAAAAAGCGGCAUAAUAUGACUUCUAGUUAGUCUCCUUUCUCAUUAAAUCUGAAAUAACCUUAAGAGGAACUUACCUAAUGACAGGAAACUUAGCUUUAAACAGGUUUCUGUUUGUCAAGACAGACAACUUUAACAGCAUGUCAAAAAUCUUUUUCCCAUCUAAGUAACUGCUACCAAAAGCUGUUCUUGAUAUGACUUCUGAAGUCAACAACCUGAAGUCUUCAAACACAUCAAUUUCUUUGCCUUCAAAUUGUUUCCACCUUUCCAGCAUGGUCUCAACACUAGCAAUCACUGCUGGUGUCAUGCUCUGCCAAAACCAUCACCCACUCUUAUGAGUAACUUAUACUUUGCCAGGAUUUGGUGCUUCUCUAAUGCAUAAAAUUCACAAAAGAUGAUAUAACUAUGAAGUAUCUUACACCAACACAUCUAUAACAAAAAUAAUUGUAGUAUUUGAUCAGAAGUUUACUUUUAAGCUGUCCCCAUGAAAAGCAUAAUUGGCCAACUUCCUUUGCCUCGCCCAUUUCUCACCUUCGGAUGUCACAAGCCCAUCCCCUAGUAUCAUAAGAGCGAAUUCGUCUUCAUUCCUCUUCCUUUCUCUACUUGUCCUUUUUGGAAAAGCUCUUUCACUACUUUUCAACACCUCUUUGACAAGCUCAGGCUCUGUGAUAAACAGUUGAGCUGUAGUACCUCCCCAAGAAAGGUAGUUUUUCCCUACUUCCACAGAAACAAGAGAAGGUUAAAUUGUUCUUAGAAAACGGUCUUAAAACUAAAGGGGGGAAUUUAAUCUUACCAUAUGAGUUGAUCCGUGAAUAAACAGGAGGAUUGACUCUGGGAAAUAUAUCAUGUGAUAAACUAGCCAUAGGCUUGCUUAAUGCUUCCUGUUUCAUUUUUACGGUCUCUUUGUUGUUUCCAUGGAUGAAUUUGUAAGGAGGUCCUUUGAUUCCUUGCAAAUUCAUUGCAUACUGUAUCCGAAGUGGUGUCCACCAAUACUUGUGUAGGAUUUUGAUCAGAGCUAUGACCAGAUACAGGCACAGAGAGCCUGUAAGAAGGGCUGAUAGAUUUGCUGCCAUGGAAGUCAUUUGCAGAACCUGACAAGGAAAAUAGAUUUUCCGAUGAGUUCAUUCCCGGAGUAUCAGAUUUAUGACAUUUAAAAUCGGGUCACUUUUGCAUUUAGAAUUAUGGUCUAAUCUAUUGAUAUAUUCAAACAAUUUAUUUAAAGUGUAUAACAUAGGCAGCCAAACACCCUCAAUUUACCAUAAUUUGGUUAGUUGCCAAACAAUUUAUGAAAGGGAGAAUCCAUUUGCAAAAUAGGUGUAGGGAUUAAUUAAAUACACAGCUGUCAGAAAAGUAUGAGAUAAAAAUUUCAUGCAAAAGUCUAAAAAGGUACUUGCAAUAAAGAUCUCAAGAGUGAUGGGCACCCAACACUUGUGGUCAACCUACAAGUCUUGGGUACUAACCAUUAGAUCAUAUGGUGAUUGCAAGUGUUAAUUUAUAUUUUUCAUCUCGAGGUAUAUAGUGUUUGGUUCUUAUAAUGUGUAAGGUAAGUUGAAUGAUUUGAUUAGUUAAAUAAAGAAUCGAUAGUUCAAUGUUUGGUCAACCACUCAAUUUAGACUAGAACCAAUCACACUCAUUAAGUGAAGGUUCAAAUCUGUGAGACACCUUUAUUUAUGAACAAAAUUCUCAAAGUUGUUGGUAUUUGAAACUUUUAAAAAUGGUGGGGGAUUGUUGGUGUAAUUUCAAAAUAAAAGGUUCUCACAUAACGGAUAUUUAUUUUAGCUCAAAAGUUAUGUCAGAUAAUAAAAGAUUAUGUUAAGCUUAAAGGUUAUGUCACAGAAAGUACCAGUGUAACUAUUAGAUUGUAAGUAGGUUUUUCAUAUAAAUAGUUAUAUUUCUUAAUAAAGUGAUAAUUGGAAAACCAUCUCUGAAUCCAGAAAUUAUGAGACAAUUGAAAAACAUCACAGUUAAAAAGUUUAUAUAUGAAAAGUUAUUUUUUCAUAUUGUAGCUCAAAAAUUAUGUUUUAUGGAAUGAAUGAUUAUUCUCUCAUUAGAUGAUUUUUGAAACAAUACUUUUAUCUAAGGAUUAUGUUUUACAAAUUGCAAAGGUAUCUUUAAGAUAAAAAGGUGUCUUGAUGAAAAGGUUGUAACUUCGAAGAAGAGAUACUUGCAAGCCUAUUUAAAAGACUUACGGCUAACCAUUUUGAUACACCAAAACAAAUAAGACAAGUGUAGAAAAAUCAACAGAGAUAGAAGUGUUAUGUUUUGAAAAUAAAUAUAAACACUUAAGUUUUCAUCAUUUAUCAAAAAAAUCUAAAUUCUUUAUAAUCUACUUGCUACAGAAAGUAAGUUUUAAGUUUGAACAACUUUGCAAAUCUUUGGGUGUAUCUAGCGGUCUAUUCUUAUAAAAGUGUAAAAAUGAAGUUAGACGUUGACUUAAUUAUACCUCUAAGGUUAUUCAUAUUAUUUUCUUUUUGCAUAGCGAAUGAUGAGGGCGAAAUAAGGCUUAAAGAUAAUGUCUAUUAUGUCUUGAAGUCAAUUUUGUGUAUUCCUUAAAUUUCAUCAAAACCUUAUUUGCACCAACAAAGAUUGCGCAUCGGCUUCCAAGAGUUUUUCUUCUCCAAGUUCUCUUGUUGAGCAUGAGAAGAUCAAUGCUCAACUUAAGGCUAAUGAAGGUUGGGGCUAGGCUUUCAACUUGAAAUCUUAGCUUAGAGCCUUAGACCUAACUUGAAAGUGUCAUCGAGUCUAAAUUUUGAUUCUAAUCAGGCUCAAUAUAUCUAUAGGAAGUGUCCAGUAUAUACUUGUCGAGACUGAGAAGACAAUGGCUUUCAUUUCUUGUGAGAAGCUUCUACAUUACUAGGCAGAACAUGCCAUAAAUUUACAUUAGUUACAACCUAGAUUACCUUUGCCAAUGUCACAUCUUACAAGUUACAGAUAGGGAAGAUAAAGAUAUCAUAUUGCUGAUUCCUUGUAUAUGUAAUUUCUUUAUUAAAGUCAUUGAUCCUUGUUAAAAUCAAUCUGAGUUAUGUUUUCUUGGCUUACUUAACUUGAUAAGAGUGCUCAAGUAUGUCAAAAUUCUAGGAUUUGCCAAAGGGUCCGAAAACAGAAAGAAUGACACAAUUGAAUGGUGUAUAUAUGGAGGUGUGAUAAAAUGAAUUUGAAUUUCGAAAAUUUAUUUUAAAAAAAUCUGAAUUAUAAUUCAGUUAAAUCCGAAUUGAUAAAAAAUUUACAGACUUAAACUUCAAAUGAUUUUAAUUUGAAAGUUCCAACUUAAAGUAGUAAUAACCUAAAUUUAAUAUUAAAAAUGACAAAUUUUAUCAAUAUUCAUUUUAAUUUAAUAUGUAUAUGAAUUUAAAUUGAUUUGAACGUUGUCACCUGAACUCGAAAUGACUUGAUUGGAAACGACGCGGUUGCCAACUCUAAAAAAUAUUCACUUACAAAUCAGGAGGCAGGCCAGUAGCAUACUGUCUUGUUGCUGUGAUGUGGUUUCUGAUGAUUGGCUGGCGGACAAGGGACAGGUGAGGGAAUUUCCAAGGCCAUAUUACUGUCUACUUCUAAAAGAUAUUCACAUACAAAUCCAUGCGCAGACAGAGUUGAAACUUUUUUGUUUGGAAUAUUAUACUAAUGAUUGAAAUGCUAUCAAUAUAUUGCCUGGAAUUACGUAUUAAAUGCAGCUGGUUUUGUCGAGUAAAGGGUUUUAAGGAAAAAUACCAAAUUUAUCAUUAUAAGAUGAUUCAAUACUGAAUUGUGUUAGCUCAUGGAAUAUGACGGAGAAUAAGGCUAUGGCUUUUGUCAGCUCAUGAAGGAGUAAUAGCUGCAUUGGCUGUAUCCCCUGUGAAAAGGGCAGGUUUCUUCUGCCAGUCAUGAUCACAAGUUUGUCAAAUUGUGGAAGUGAUACGAUUGCUAGCAGAAUUCCCAAGUUUUAAUCAGCAACAAUUGUUGGUUCGUAGCUGUUCAGGUAGCUCAAAGGUGUCCAUUUUGUGGUUUGUCCCAAUGUAACUACCCUUGUCUGCUGUAUGCAUGCUAUGUAACCUUGUCUCGCUAAUGGUUAAUUUGGACAUUCCUGCUUAAGUUCAUUAACAUUUUUCACAAAAAAAAAAAAAAAGAAAACUGAAUUAUGUCACUACACUUUAAUUGUAUUGUAUUUUGUUAUCAUAAUUUUUAUUUCCAUUAAACUCUGUAAAUGAAAUAUUUUGUCUUUAUUUUUAUUCAAAAAUAACUAAAACAAAAAUAUUUAAAAUAAACGUAUACUGACAAAAUUUAAUGCAAUUGAAACACAAUUGCAAGAUUCAACGUUCAACCAUAAUAUUGUGAUAAAUUUGGUAUUCAUCUUAAGAUUUUUAUUCACCAUGCCAUGAGGUUAUUUGGUUCAUGAUAUUCACAAAAUUGCUACAAGAAUUUCAAAGCUGAGAAGCCUUAGAUUGUUUACUAGGAGCAGAGCAGGGAUAUAUCAGGCUUUAGUACUCAAAGGAAGAUAAUCUUGUUUCUUUGUUGCCAAUACAUGAAAUCACUAAUACUUAUAUCAUCAUACAUGGCUGCUAAAUACAGUUAAAUGGGAGAACAUAACUGGGAACUGGUUAUCAUCAGUUUUUAUUUGAUUAUAUAUUUUACCAUUUCGGAGAUUAACAGCUGAGUACUUUAAGCAUCAUUAGGCAGUGAAUGAAACAACAACUGAAUUCCAUGUUGUGGCCUAAGUGUGAGAAGAGCUAAGGGUGCGUGGACAUAGGCAGGGGAGAGGGCAAUGUUGUAGCGUUGCAGAAUCAUGAAGAUAGCCAUCUUUGUUUCUGUGAUCGCAAAGCUCAUGCCCACGCAAGAUCGAGGUCCCAUUCCAAAGGGAAUAAAUGCACCCGCAUUGUGUUUGGUAGCCUUGGCAAUCCCUUCAGCGAAUCUCUCUGGUUUGAAAAGAUGAACAUCAUCUCCCCAUAAUUCAGGGUCAUGGUGAAGUGCCAUGUUCGGGAUGCUGAACUCUAUAUUUGUAGGCAGCAUGAGCUUUCCCAAUUGAACUUCUCUUCCAACUCUCCUUGCGAUGCCAUUUACAGGAGGAUACAAUCGUAAAGUUUCAUUGAUGAUCAUGGUCAUCUGUUUACAGAUUAGAAGUAAAAGGUAUCAAAUUAUAAAUUCCCUGUUUAAUACCCUGAAUGCUCAAAACUAGUGCAUGCUAUUAAAGUGGUUAGAGCUUGAAAUUUGCUUACAGUUUUUAGUUUGGCAAUCCCUUCAGGAUGUGGAUCUUGAUUACCAAAUACCUCAAUCACCUCUCUUCUUGCUUUCUCUUGCCAAUCUGUAUGGAUUGCUAAAAGCAGGACUGUCCAUGCGAGCAAGGAAUUAGUUGUUUCUUGUCCAGCAAAGUAGAAUGUUUUACACUCAUCUACCAAAUCUUCAACGGAGAGCCUGUUUUUCUCGUCCAAGUCAUGAUAGGCAUUUAGAAGUAAUCCCAGAAAAUCACUGCCAAAGCUCUCAGCUUCUCCAGCCACUACUUUCUCUUCUCUUUGUUUAACAAUCUUCAUCACAGAAUCAUGUAUUUCUUUUGCAAGUUUCUCCGAUUCAAUUUCAUCAGCAUGUUUCCAGACGUAGCUGCAAAAGCAAACCAAAGUCUGCCUUAUAUAUGGAAAAAACUAGGAUAGAAAGAAAAAAUAUCCUCUCAGACCUACAGCUUUAUGCAUAAAAUAGAGCCUUCUGGUUAUUAGUCUCCAGAGUAAAGCUUAGAGGAGCUUACCUGAUGCCAGGUAUCCUGGCUUUAUAAAGAUUUCUGCUUGCGAUUACUGACAACUUCAUCAACGUCUCAAAAAUCUUCUCGCCCUCCAGGUAACUGCUACCAAAAGCUGUUCUGGAUAUCACUUCUGAAGUCAAUAAUCUAAAUUCCUGGAACACUUCGAUCUCCUUCCCUUCCUGGCCUUUCCACUUCUGUAGCAUUGUUUCAACGCUAGCAAUUACUGCUGGAGUCAUGUUCUGCCAAAACCAUCCUCCACUUUGUAAGUAUCACUACUGGAAGAUCACCAAAAUUUUAGUUUGCAAAUGUUCCAAGUACAAUAAAUAAUUCAAUCACCAAGCCUAUGACAGCAAAAACUUAUAGUACAGUGGUUUUCAUAGGAAGUUUUACUUUCAAGCUCUCCCCAUGAAAAGCAUAAUUGGCCAAUUUCCUUUGCCUUGCCCAUUUUUCUCUUACGGUCGUAGCAAGCCCGUCCCCCAGUAUCUUGCUAAGGAAAUAUGUAACUUUCCUCUUUGGAAAAGCUUUUUCACUAUUUUUCAGCACCUCUUUGAUGAGAUCUGGUUCUGUAAUUACCAGCAGAGCUCGAACUCCAUUCCAACUAAGAUAAAUUUUCCCUAAUCAAAGAACACAGAAAAAAAGAGAGUUAAAUCUCUUCCUGGAAGCAGAACUUAGAAAUCCUAGCGGAAAAUGACAUCAUGUCUCACCAUAUGUGUUGAUGCAGGAGUAAAUAUGAGGCAGCACUCUGGGAAAUAUAUCAUGUGUCAAGGCCAUAGGUUUGCUUGAUGCUUCCCUUAUACUUUCGACAACUGCUUUGUUGUUUCCAUGGAUAAACUCAUACGGAGGUCCUUUAAUUCCCUGUGACCUCAGUAUAUUCUGUAUCCGGUGGGGAAUCCACCAGUAGUUGUAGAAGGCCUUGAGCAGAGCUCGGAGGAAGUAAAGGAAGAAUGAACCUGCGACAAGGAUUAAAAGCUUUCCCAUGGAGUUCAUUUCUUUCUCUUAUCCACUACAUUUGAGGUGUUGUGGUUCUUUGCUUUUAUGCACGUUUAGGGCUGAAGGCAUUUUGCUUAUAUGUAAAAGCCGGCUUUUCAUUUGGUGCGAUUUAGAAUUGGUCAAAAGAACAAUCUAGUCCAUGUAAUCUCUAACUGUAUCCAAUUUAAUCCCGAUACUCAAAAUUAAAAUAAUUUAGUCCUUUAAUUUUAAAAAUUUAGUCCCUCUUUUUAAAAAAAUUUAAUUUUACCGUUAAAGAGGAUGAUGUCGAUGAUAACGUGACACAUUUUGAUGAUAUGGAGUUGAAAUGAUGGCGUGGCAUACCAUGUGGCAUCGACAUGAUGACGUGACAAUAUCACAUGGCAUCGACAUGAUAACAUGACAAUGUCACGUGAUACUAAUAUGAUGACGUGGUAAUGACAUGUUGACAUGUCAACUUUACGUGGUAGAUCAAAAAAAUUUUCAAAAUAAAAAAUUUUACCAUGUCAUAAAGAUUAAAUUGAAAAAAAAUAUAUAUAGUACAGAGACUAAAUUGAACAAAAUUAAGAUGAUGAAGGACUACAUUGAAAAAAAUAUUUGAAAAAUAUAAAUCUUUAAGUAGAUUAUUGAUAUACUUAUUAAUAAGCCAAAUAUUUUAGCGUAAAAGAUUUAUGGUGUUAAAAAAUAUAUAUAAAUAUUUUCUUACUUCAUUAUUUGAUUCUAGAAUGUAUACAUUAAUUUAUUUAUUUUUUACAAAAAUUAAGUUUGAAUUCUUCUUGUGUAAAAAAAAAUUUGAAAAAAUUUCAUACCUAAAGUCAAAUUUCGAUGAAUAACUUGCAUUAUGUUAUUACAAAAUAAUAUAAAAUGACUAAAUAAAAUUUUUUCUUCUAUUUAUAAUAGUAUAAAAAUUUGAAAUUUAUUUAACUUAGUUUUUAACGUGAAGUGAACUCAAAUUAGCAAAAUAUGUUGAUUUAGUAAAAAAAAUGAAGAACGAAGAUAUGGAGUUAGUGAUGAUUAUAAAAAUAAUUUCUUAUUCUAACUUACUUAAUUUGGACAUGACAAAUCUCUUAUUAUAACCAUAGAAUUUGAGCUCCACCUUUUUAAUUUUUUAUUUAUUUUUUAUUUCUUUGUUUUGUUUAAUAUUUCAAGUUAUAUUUUUUAAGUUGAAAUUUCCUAGAUUAAAGAUUAGGGGUGAGCAAAUGGGUGGAUUGAGUGGUUUAGUCCACCAUAUCUAAGGACCAAAUGGACCAAUCAUUUUUAAAAAAUCAAUCAAAAUCGACCAAAUAUAAUGGAAGGUUAAACCGACAAAAUAUAGAAUUGGUUUGGUUGGUUCGGUUUUGAACCAAUAGACCAAAAUUUUAUCACAUUUUUUUUUUACAAAUUAUAAUAUUAAAACUUAUAAACUUCAUUCAUAAUUAUAUAUAUAUGAAAUUAAUGAUAAAACUUAUAUGUUAUAAUAUUUUAUAUCAAAGUUUGUAUAAAUAAUAACAAUUAUGAACUAUAUGUUAUAAAAUCUAAGGUGAUAGCUAAUAAGCUUAUUAAGUGUAAUCGUAUAAAUAAAGUUUAUUAUAAGUUAUAGUAAUGCUUAUGUAUAAAUUAAAUAUAUAUAAUAUAUUACAUUAUUAUAUAUAUAAUUAAUGAUACAAAUUUUAUGUUAAAAUAUUUUAUAUAAUCAUAUAAAUAAAGUAUAUUAUAAGUUAUAGUAAUACUUAUGUAUAAAUUAAAUAUAUGUAUAUAUAAUAUAUGACUUUAUUAUAUAUAUGCAUAUACAAAAUUAAUGACAUAAUUUAUAUGUUAUAAUGUUUUAUAUGAAAGUUUGUAUAAAUAAUAACUAAUUAUAAACAAUAGGUUAUAAAAUCUAAGGUGAUAACUAAUAAAGUUAUUAAAUAUAAUCAUACAAAUAAAGUUUAUUAUAAAUUAUAGUAAUGCUUAUGUAUAUGUAUAUAUAAUAUAUCUAUACAGUUAUCUAUAUAGUUAUAUAUAUAUAUAUAUAUAUAUAUAUAUAUAUAUUCAUACCACUUUAUAUUACGACAUAUUACUAAGGUUUAAUAAUUAUAAUAUAUUAAUAUGUAGGAUAUUUACUAUUAUAUAUUAUAAUAUUAACAUAUAACUUAUAUUAUUUAAAAUAUAUAACUUGUAAUUUCAUAUUCAUAUAAAUUUAUAAAUAAAUAUAUAUGACUAAUAUUAAAUUACUAUGAUUAUGAUUUGUAUACGUACAUAUAAUACUCUAAUAUAUUUUAAAUAUAUUAUUAAUUAAGUUUACUAUCAAUUUUUUUAAUAUAUAAAAAAUAUAUAUGACUAUAUAUACAAAUAUAUAAAAAAUUAAUUUGGUUUUUUGUGUGGAUUGGUUUAAAAAUUUUAAAAUCGAGAACCGACCAAAUAACCAAUUGGACCAAAUAUUUUGGACCAAUUGAUUCAAUGGACUAAUUAGACUGAAUUAUUUUACUCAAAUCGCAUUUGGUUUGGAUAGGUAAUUGGUCUGGAUUGGUUUUGCUAACCUUUAUUAAAGAAUAUAUUUAUUGUUGAUAAAGUUCAAUAUAAUUGUAAAUAUUUGUACCAUUUUAUUUUAUUAAUAAAUUUUUUGUAGAUCCAAAUUAAUAAUUUAAAUAUAAAUUUAGCAUAAUUUGAUUGUGGUAUUUGAACUUAAAUAAAAUUGUUUUAUAAGAAAUUUUAAAUAAAUUUAAAUAAAAGGUACAUUAGGUAAGAGUUGAAUAAUUUCAUAAAAAAUGGGUAUUUAUAAAUUGUAAAAGUUGUAACUAAAUCAAUGUAUUUUGUUAAUUUGAGUUUAGCUUAAGUUAAAAACUAAGUUAAAUAAAUUUCAAAUUUUUAUACUAUUAUAACUAGAAAAAAAAAGAAUUUAUUUAGUUAUUUUAUAUUAUUUUAUUAUAAUAUAAUGUAAGUUAUUCAUCUAAAUUUGACUUUAGGUAUGAAAUUAUUUUGAAAUUUUUUUUUAGAAGGAGAAUUCUAACUUAAUUUUUGUAAAAAAUAUAAAUUAAUAUAAAUAUUCUAUAAUCAAAUAAUCAAGAAAGAAAAUAUUUAUAUAUACUUUUUAAUACCAUAAAUCUGUUACACUUAAAUAUUUAGCUUAUUAAUAAAUAUAUCAAUAAUCUACUUAGAUAUUUGUAUUGUUUAAAUAUUUUUUUUCAAUUUAGUCCCUCAACAUCUUAAUUUGUUCAAUUUAAUACCUAUACUAUAUAUUUUUGUUCAAUUUAAUCCCUAUAACGUGGCAAGAUUUUUAUUUUAAAAUUUUUUUUGAUCUGUCACGUGGCACAAGCAUGCUAACAUAUCAAUGCCAUGUCAUCAUAUUAGUGCCACGAGGCAUUGCCACAUCAUUACGUCGGCGCCACGUGGUAUUCCACAUCAUCAUCUCAAUGCAUCAGCACUAAAAUGUGCCGAAAUGUGCCAUAUUAGUGCUGAUGUCAUCUUUUUUAAUGACAAAAUUAGAUACCGUUAGGGAGAGAGAUUAAAUUAAAGAAAUUUUCAAAAUUAAAGAACUAAAUUGCUUCGAUUUUAAGUAUAGAAAUCAAAUUGAACAAAAUUGAAAAGUACAAGAAUUGAAUAGGUCUUUUGACUAUUUGAAAUUAUUGCCUUCAAAAAAUACACCCACUUUUUAAGUAAAGGGCUUAACAAUUCAACUACAAAUAUUCAUGGCAUGCUAUACAUAAUGCCUAAUGCCUCACUCUUAUGACUCUUAUUGAAUAAUUGUGACGCAAUAAUAGUAGGUGAUGUACUCUCUUAUCUCGCAAGUCAUGUUAUGCCAAUCACUAAACUGCAGAUUAUAUUGGAUUCAACUUAGCAACAAUUUUGGCAUUUAUAUGAUCAAUGAAAUAAAUAAAGAUUAAUUAUAAUUAACAAUUAGGGUUCUUCAUCCUAUGAACAGGAAAAAAAAGGUGUAAUAAUCACUUCAUAUCAUGCAUUAAUAUGAACAAUAAUGAACUCAACUUGAUAAAAUUUGGUUUUAAUAGAUGUUAAGCUUUGAUUUAGAGUUCACUGGGUAAUAGGUGGUAUAUACAUUAGGACUUUCUGUUUUUUUUUCUUUUUUUUGGGGGGGGACACCUUGUAUUAAUUCAUUCAAAUUUUUUUUGAAAGGUAUUAAGUCAUUCAAUUUUAACUACUCAUUGUAAGAAUUCAAAAGGGAUAAGGACCUCCAAGUGGGGCUUUUUACUUUAGUCAAAGACUGCUGCAAAACGUGAUAAGAAUUUUACAUGUUCAAGACUAUUUUCCAUAGGUUUAUUUUAGUCAAAGACUCUUGCACAUCACGUUAUGUAACAUUUCAAAGAAAUAAAUGGUGAGAGUCAACAAGAUUGUGUUAUAUAUAGUCCUCCUGUCCCAUUUUAUUUUUUCUUAUUUGAUUUUCAUGAAAUUUUAAAAAAAUUAAUUUUGAUGUAUUUUAUAUUAAAAUUUCAAAUUGUAUUAUACACGUUAUGUUCCAUGGAUUUUAAUCUCAAAAAAUUUUAAAAAAAUUAUGAAAAAUAAAUUGAAAAUGUAUCUUGUAGUACGUGUAUAACUUUGUCCUAUAAUACAAGCUGUAGUAGAUAUAUAGCCAAAAUCAUUAUCAGUACUCAAUUAUAAAAUCAAUUAAAUUGUCAUAAUCACCCCUUUGCACGGGAAAAGAAAAACGCAAGGAAAGAAGAAAAAAAGUUGCAAUAACCCUGGGAAAAUGUCCUUCAUCAGAUAUAUUAUAUACUUUGCAUUAACAUAAUCUUCUAGUCAUCAUCAUCAAUCAACAUCUGGCUUUUGUUUAUUUUUGGACUGUUUGCAGCUUGCUCUUAUCUUUUCUCACGGUCGGUGGAGCUGGCAAAGCAGACAUUGGCCAGCUACAAUAUGUUAUAUUAGAAGCUUCAGUAUUACUAGGCACUAGACAGUACAUCCUUAUUUCUCACGUCUUACAACUGAUUGGAAGGAUAAAAAACUAAAACCCACCUAAUUUCUCUUGUUUUAUAUUAAAAUGAUUGAUCCUUGUUAAAAAUCAAUCUGAAUUAUCUUUUCUUGUUUUACUCGUUGACCAGAGAUACGCUUACAAAUCAAGUGUGCCUAAUCCUAGAUUUUACUGAAGGGAAGCAAAACAGCAACAAAUGACAUUGAUUAAUGUUAAAUGGCCUAUCUAUAUCUCUUUGUCCAAAUACGCAGCUGCUGCACACUGGCUUCGGCCUUGAUUUGUAAUGAUUGCCUGGACACCUGAGGAAAUUUCAAGGCCUUUGUGCUCUCUAGUUCUUAAAAAAAUUGACCUAGAACGUCCAUAUUCAGACAUUGCAGAAACUUUUGUGCUUGGAAGUUAAUUAUACUCAGGAGAGAUUGAACUGAUAUCAAUAAUAUAUUGUCUGGAUUUAUGUGUUAAAUGCUGCUGAUGUUUUCGGUCAGGAGAGAGCUAGAGCAUUUUCAAAGGGGAGGUCAAACAGAAAGAGAUAUUAAAUAGUUAAAGAGAAUUUUAUAUAUAAUUCAAUUAUUACUUAUCUAAAAAAUUAAAUAAAAUUUAGAAAAUAUUGAACAUAUAAAAAAAUGCAUAUUAGCAGUAAUAGUAGUGUCAUUUAUAUAUAUGACUGAAUGAAACUAUAAAAAAAAUUCUCUUUUACUCUUUAUGCACAAGAGUGGAAAAGAAAAUAAUUUUUCAAACUUAAAUGAAUUGCCUCUUAACUUUGUGUGUCUUAACUCUCAUUUUAUUUUCUAUUUACUUCUUAAAUUGCUAAUUAACAUAUUAAGUUAUUAGAUUAAACUAUUAAAAUAUAAUAUGUUUGUCGUAACGUGCGGGUCCGAGAACCCGUCCGCCAGACGCUGGCGAAAAUAAAUCGGUUUAGGAGUCGCCACCAAUAUUUUUUUUUAUCUAGAUGUGAUUGGUCACCUAUUAACCAGAUUCUAAUCGACAAAGUCCUAAAUUAAUUUUAGGUCCGUCGAAAGAACGAGAACUGAUCUACGUUUUUUAGAGAUAGGUUCGGGAGUGCGGUUACGCACGGAGAAUGGUUAGCACCUCCGUGGCACCCGUUCCACGAACGGUACCAUUUAAUCUUAAGUUAUCCUAUUAUAGCCUACUUUUGAUUUAUUCCCUACUUAUUAACUAAAUUUUUAUUAAACUGACUGCCUGAAUCUUUUAUUUGGUUUUACAUAUGCACGUGAUGCAAGCGUAAAAUGAUGUCAUGACUCGUUUAUUUUAAAUAAUGGGAUCAGUAAUCUUUUAUUGAAAAAUUAUUUGAAGACCAUCCCAACGCUUUGGUGAAGUCUUGAAAUUCUCCUCACCUAGAGAUAUCCUGGGAAGAACUCAUCUUUACAAGCUCUUCGGGGAAAUCCCAUCAUCGGAAUUUUCGCACCAUUUGCAAGAUAAAUGUGGCGUGCUAUGACAGGAUAAAGUGAUGAUGUCUACAUGCACGCGUUUAUUGACUUAAGCGGUUCAUAAUUCAUCCAAUUAUGUGUUUAAUAAUUUAUCACCUUAUUUAUAUAUUUAUUUUGUCAUUUUUUUUCAUGGAUUAUUUAUUUAUUUUAUUAUUAUUAUUAUUUUUUGUUUUUAUUUUCUAUUUAGAUCCAUAUCUUUUAAUUAACAUUGUUGAUUAACAUUUAACUUGAUUAUAUAACUUAUCAAAUAAACAAUUAAUUAAUUUUUUCAAACGAUUAAAUUAACUUUAUUUAGUAAUAUUUAUUUAAGCUAAUUAACUAAUUUAAGUUUGGAUGCAACAUUAUGUAAAUUUAUUUUUUUUUUAACAAUGACUAUUUGACUUAAUAGGUAUUGGAGUUUAGAGUUCGGAUUUAUCCCGACGCUUCAGUGAAAAUCCGUCUCAAACUUCGCACAAAAAAAAAAUCCACUUAAAAAAAGCAACUCUUUGCCUUUCUUAGGUGGAGUUUCUCAAACAAUUAUCUUAUUUUUCUUAUAAUUUUUAUAUUCGUAUCAUGUUACUGUUUUUUUGUUUUUUUUAUUUAUAUAUAUAUAUAUAUAUAUAUAUAUUAUAUUUACAAGUAUCUAAAUAUGAAUAUUUCUUUCUUUUUUUUUAUUCCUCUCAUUUGUUUAUUAUCAUUACUAUUUUUAACAUAAACUAAACCUAUGAUUAGUUUUCUUAGUAUUUAUUUUAUGUAUAUAUGUAUAUAUGUUCUUCUAAACUAUGUAUCUUUACUAUUUUUUUUAUUAUGACUAUCAUUGUUUUUUUAUUUUUUUGUUAUUUCUAUUCUUAUUCAUUUAUUGAUUUUUUUAGACCAAACCUAAGAACUCUCAUAAAUAUGAAUAUUGAUCCCAAUAUAUAUAUAUAUACAUAUUGUUUUUUUAUUUUUUUGUUAUUUCUAUUCUUAUUCAUUUAUUGAUUUUUUAGACCAAACCUAAGAACUCUCAUAAAUAUGAAUAUUGAUCCCAAUAUAUAUAUAUAUACUAUUACAACCAUUAUCAUCUCUUUUUAUUAUUUUUUUUGUUUGAAUAUUUGUUUUUAUUUAUUUUUUUAUCAAAUAUUUACUCAUAUUUUCAUUUACCACUUUAUAUUUUAUUGUUAUUUUUCUACUUUAAAAUAUCAUAUAAUCUCUACAUAAUAUCUUUUUUAUCUUAAUUAAAUUAUUCUUAUGCUCAUAAUAAUAUGUUUUAAACAUAAACAAUUGAGUCACCACAAUAAAUAAAAAAAAUAUUAUAGUAAAAAAGCAUGCAAGUUAGAUCUUACCUUAUGUAGAUUUAGAUUAGCUCAAAAAGAAUAGAAUUAUGUGGGCCAAGGCAAGCCACGUACAACAACUUGCUCUCCAAAAAAUGCCGUGAAGAGUCCCUUCUUGUUACAAAUCUCUACCUCAUUUCUCCUUUUUUUUUUUUCUUUCUUUCUCUCCCUUAUUUCCUUCUUCCUUUCCUUUCUCUCUCCCCGUCGACUUCUUCUUUCUUUUUCUUUUUUUUUCUUUUUUUUUUCUUCUCUUCCUCUCCUUUCCUUUCUCUCUCCCCGCUGGCUUCUUCUUUCUUUUUCCUCUUUCUUUCUCCUUCUCUUUCUCUCUUUUCUCCCUGCCGGCGUCACACCCUUCUCCUCUUCUCUCUUCCUCUUCUCUCUAUCGUCUUCUUCCUUUUUUUUUUUGCUCUAUUUUUUGUGUUUGAUUGUGGUUCUUCGGCUGCUAGAGACUUUUUGGUUUUUUGAAAACGUUUUUUUAUAUUGUUUUUUGGCUUUUUUUGGUUCUUCCUCUCUGAUUUUUUUUUAUUUUCCCACUUCCCCCGUUUUGCAGGUUGUCCAUCUUUUGAGGUCAGGUUGUCCAAAAAUUUGGACAACUCGGUAAUGGGGUUCUACACCAAAAAGUUGAUAGUCAAAACCCCCAUCAUUUAAGGUGGUUCCUUCUCUUUUUCUUUUUUAAUUAUUUUAUUUUAUACUUUAUUUUAUUAUAAUUUUUUAUUUUUUUGAGGUAUCUACUUAUGAUAGAUUAUUAGAUUGGACGGUUAAGAUAUAAUAUGUUAUGAGAAGCUUAGAUUUAUAUUAAAAUUUAAUAGAUUUGAAUUAGUAGAUUCACUUUUAUUUUUUUGUAAAUUUGAUAGGCUUAACAUAUUAGUUUAAAAUUUAUUUAUUGGGUUUAACUAGCAAUAUGGUAACCAUAAUAACUCUAAUUUUGCCAAACAGUAUGAAAAAUAAAACUAAUUAUUAAAUUAAAAAUUAUUUUGAGAGCUAUUAAAAAUAAAUAUAAUAAAUAAAUAUGUAUUGAAAAAAUAUAAUUAUUUCAUUCUAUCAAUUUGUAUGUAUAAUCUUAUUACUUAAAAUUUGUAACAUACGUACUAAAAUGUAUUGGUUAUUUUGAAUAAAAAAUAAUAUAUUGAUGAAAUUUUAAGUCACAAUACAAUACUGCAACGUAUAUUUAAAAAUUAUAUAAUAAUUUAUUUAUUUUUAAAAAUUAAAAUCAUAAAAAAUAAUAUCUAGAUAAUAGAAAAAAAAACAUGAAAAGUAGAAAAUAAAAUCCAUAUAUAAUAUAAUAAAAGAAAAAAAAUAUGAUUGUUGGUACGUUAAAAUUUGUGAAAGAAAAUUUAUAAAGAUUUAAAAUAUAUGAGAAGAACUAGGUUUCCCAGGUGAACGCUGCAUCAGGAGCAGGGAUAUCAUUCCGCAGUAGGGCAGUACCAGUAUACGUUUGUGAUUUAAGCUUUGAACCACUUUAAACUGAAAGGCUCUGACAGCAUAUCAAGAACCACCCGUUUUGGAUUGAGAAAUAAGGAUCCAAAAAUAGUUACCAUACAUUUAACAACUAUUAUCACAUCGCUGAUAAUUAAAUGCUAUAGUACAUUGAAUACCGUUACUGAAGACUAUUUAACAUUUUACCAUCUUGGACACUAAUAGCUGCACACUCCAGAAUAAGCUAUACUAACCUAGAAGCAGCUAGUCUUAUUAAGAACUUUAGGCACCACUCUGUAGUGAAUGAAGCAUUACUUGAAUUCCAUGUUGUGGCUGAAGCUUAAGUAUAGUAAAUGGAGAGUGAACAUAGGCUGGGGAGAGAGUAAAGGUGUAACGUUGUAGAAUCAUUGAGAGAGCAGUCUUUGUUUCGGUGGUUGCAAAGCUCAUACCCACGCAAGAUCGAGGUCCCAAUGAAAAAGGAAUGAAUGCAGCCGCAUUGUAUUUGGUAGCUUUGGCAGUCCCUUCUGCGAGCUUAUCUGGUUUGAAAAGAUUAAAUAGAUUGAUUAUAUUAUCAAUUGAAAAAAAAAUAUUAGAAAAAUUUGAUUAUAAAAAUUUAAUUAAAAAUUUUGCAUAUCAAAAAGUUAGAAGAAUAAAAUUUUAAUAAUUUUUUUUAAUUUCAAUAAAAAAACCUCAUUUGAUUAUUUUGCUUUAAAUUUUUGAACUUAUUGAGCCGCCUUUGGCCAUAUCAUUUUCAUAAUUCGUCAAGUUACUCUAUCAAGAUACAUUCCCAAUCCCCUAUGCUUUACAUCAUUUCUUUCAACCCAAAGAAACUAAGAAAUUACAUAUUAAAUGUAGCUGGUUUUGUCCAUACUGGUUAUCAGCGGAGUAAAGGGUUUUAAGGAAAAAUACCAAUUUAUCAUUAUAAGGUGAUUCAAUACUGAAUUGUGUCAGCUCAUGGAAUAUGACGGAAAAUAAGGCUAUGGCUUUUGUCAGCUCAUGAAGGAGUAAUAGCUACAUUGGCUGUAUCACCUGUGAAAAGGGCUGGUUUCUUCUGCCAGGCAUGAUCACAAGUUUGUCAAAUUGUGGAAGUGAUACGAUUGCUAGCAGAAUUCCCAAGUUUUAAUCCACAACAAUUGUUGGUUUGUAGCUGUUCAGCUUGCUUAAAGGUGUCCAUUUUGUGGUUUGUCCCAAUGCUCAAAGAUUUUUAUUCACCAUGCCAUGAGGUUAUUUGGUUCAUGAUCUUCACAAAAUGACUACAGGAAUUUAGAAGCUGAGAAGCCUUAGAUUGUUUACUAGGAGCGGAGCUGGGAUAUACCAGGGUUUAGUACUCAAAAGAAGAUAAUCUUGUUUCUUUGUUGCCAAUACAUGAAACCCCUAAUACUUGUAUCAUCAGAAAUGGCCGGUAAAUACAGUUAAAUGGAAGAAAAUAAUCAGAAACUGGUUAUCAUUAGUUUGUAAGAUUUCUUAAAAAAAACUGUACAAAUUUCCAGAAAUCAAAAGAGCAAAAUGAUGAACAAAAACAGAGUUGAGAGAAGAAACAAGUCUGUAUAUGGAUCAAAAUUGAUGAAAUAACGGCUGCUCAGAUGAAAGAGAAAGAAGGCCGUUGGACUACACAAACAAAGAGAGAACGAAAACGACGCGAUUGAAGGAAAGAAACAAACAUUGAACAAACGACACAACAAGUCGUCGUAUGCUCCUGUAAACAGAACAGACAAGAAACGACAGCCAAGGACACCGUUUAAGCACCCCCAACAAGCAAAUCAUAAAACGACACAGGUGACCCCCGUUUCACAAACUCAAAUCGAUGAAGGCAUAUGCGGCACCACUUUGCACAGCCCUGAACCCUUCUUCAACUUAUUUAAAUUCCAACUGCUUCCCGCCAUUAGUUAUUUAUAAUUAGUUAUUAUUUAUAAGUUUUUGCCAGUUCUGAUCAGGCGGGCUGGUCAAAAUUGUAAAGUAGUUGUAAAUACUUGCAAAGAUACCAUUGUUAGAGGUCUGGUUAUAUGUCAUGGCGCAUAUUUGAGAAUGGAGUUCAUGCUGAUUAAUCGUGUGCAAACUGUGAUGUCCACAUUUAUUGGAUUUUGAGAGGGCUAUGAACUCGACUGAAUGGCUUCUGUGUUCAGUAUAUAAACUGAAACAGGGGACUGUACUCCCCAACAAACUUGCUGGAAAUAAUUUUAUAGUUGCUUAACAGGGGAGAUCACCGUGAAAGCCUGUGCUGUUUAUACCAUUUAGUUUAGUUUUAGUAUGUGGUAAUCUUGAUGCUCCUUCUGCCUAAUGAGCAAGCCAGAGCUGGUUCCCGGGUUCACCUAGUCCUGUACUGUGUAUAAAGAGAAUUUUGAAUAUAAAUCAAUAGUAUGCCAUAAUUUAGUAUGAUUUCUUACCAUUUUAUUUAAUUUUUUCAGGGUAAAUUUAUAACUAAUGUCAAUCUUUACCAAUAAUGGAGCCAAGGUUUAUGCUCAAUCUGGGUAAAGUUAUUUCUCCUUCUGCAAGUCUCUCUGGUUUGAAAACAUGAACAUCUUCAACCAUAUCUCAGGGUCAUGGUGAAGUGCUGGAGUUGAAAUGAACAAUUCAGUAUUUUUCUUCUUGGAGAAUUUUGUUACAGAAAAAAAGAUGCCUGGACAAUCAUACGGAUCUCUAAUCAAGAUCUACAACAAUAUCAGAAUAUAAGAGGAAAUAGUACUCAGAGGAGCACCAUCUUCAUACUUGAUUGCUUAAACAUUUUGUUCCAAUAUCAUCAUUUACUAUUACAUGGAUAGAAACAAGGACAAAUUAAUCAACAUCACUGACUGGGGUGAGUUACUGGCUGCGGCCUCUGUAAGCAACUGAUCUACAAGGCAUUAUUCCAUUGACAACUCUAGGCUUCAUUCUACAGAGAAUGAAGUAUUACCUGAAUUCCAUGUUGUGGCUGAAGCAAAGGAAGGUAAUAUGGUGAGUGGCUGUAGGCUGGGCAAAGGGAAAUGGUGUAUCGCUGUAGAAUCAUGGAAAGAGCAAUCUUUGUUUCUGUAAUUGCAAAGCUCAUACCGACACAAGAUCGAGGUCCCAAUCCAAAGGGAACAUAUGCAGCUGCAUUAUGUUUGGUGGCAUUCGCGAUCCCUUCUGCGAAUCUCUCAGGUUUGAAUAGAUUGACAUCAUCUCCCCAUAACUGAGGGUCAUGGUGAAGUGCCAUGAUUGGGACAACCAAAUGUAAAUCAGCUGGCAGGAUGAGCUUUCCCAAUUGAACUUCUCGUCCAACUCUCCUUACGAUGCGAUUUAAAGGAGGAUACAACCGUAAAGUUUCAUUGAUGAUCAUGGUCAUCUGUUUACAGAUUAGAAAUCAAAG